GAUCCUGGCUCAGGAUGAACGCUAGCUACAGGCUUAACACAUGCAAGUCGAGGGGCGAGCAGUGGUCUUAGCUUGCUAAGGCCGAUGGCGACCGGCGCACGGGUGAGUAACACGUAUCCAACCUGCCGUCUACUCUUGGACAGCCUUCUGAAAGGAAGAUUAAUACAAGAUGGCAUCAUGAGUCCGCAUGUUCACAUGAUUAAAGGUAUUCCGGUAGACGAUGGGGA
RNAcentral lists this ribosomal RNA (227 nucleotides) under uncultured bacterium. Its description in RNAcentral is "partial 16S ribosomal RNA". It matches the Rfam family "Bacterial small subunit ribosomal RNA", at positions 15 to 231 of the family's 1533-position model. The record is from RNAcentral.